CGAACGCUGGCGGCAGGCUUAACACAUGCAAGUCGAACGGGCGUAGCAAUACGUCAGUGGCAGACGGGUGAGUAACACGUGGGAACCUUCCUAGGGGUACGGAACAACUCAGGGAAACUUGAGCUAAUACCGUAUACGUCCGUGAGGAGAAAGAUUUAUCGCCCUUAGACGGGCCCGCGUCGGAUUAGCUAGUUGGUGGGGUAACGGCCUACCAAGGCGACGAUCCGUAGCUGAUCUUAGAGGAUGAUCAGCCACACUGGGACUGAGACACGGCCCAGACUCCUACGGGAGGCAGCAGUGGGGAAUUUUCCGCAAUGGGGCGAAAGCCGUAGACGGAGCAACGCCGCGUGAGGGAUGAAGGCCUCUGGGGCUGUAAACCUCUUUUCUCAAGGAGAAGAUCUGACGGUACUUGAGGAAUAAGACCACGGCGUAAUCCGUGCCAGCA
Molecule: ribosomal RNA, 445 nt
Filed under: uncultured bacterium
Lineage: Bacteria
Description: bacterial SSU rRNA
Rfam family: Bacterial small subunit ribosomal RNA
Source: RNAcentral